CAAAAUAGGGCAAGUAACAUGAUUGGAAAGCUUCAACAGGUUUGUAAGAAGGUCAGCCAGCCACAAAUGUAAAAGAUGUACAGAACAGCUCAAUAACAGCAAUAAAAAAACUCAUAUAAUAACAUUUAAAUUGAUGAUGAGAGGACAGAUUAGAAGAUAAAAAUAAUCCAAUCUAUCAUUGCAUGGACUAGUUAUCAAUCUUAAAAAGCUAGAAAGGCAUGCAUUGAAAUAGUGCUCGCGAGUCAAAUCCCUGGGUGGACAGAUAAAGAAAGCAAUCCAUCAAAUAAAAUUACCAAUCAAGAAAUCAAACUGAUCCAGAGUUUAAUUGCCAAUUAAGAUGUAUUGACAGGCGGUUCCCUUCAGAUAGUAAAUAUCUCCACCGAAAAAAUUUUGUAAACCCUACGAAUAUAAAGACAUAUUGGAAUAUAAAGGUAAAAAUCACUGAAAAUGGCGGUGAACACAAGAUAGCAAUCCCAGAAGAGAUCGCAGAGAUCAGAAAGCCAGCCAUGUACUGAAAAAUGUUGUAAGCCAAAUUAAGAGCUCAAUUCAUAGUUUUCUUUCCCUUUACUUUUGGCUUGGUUAAUUAAUUUAAACACUUUCACCUUUCUCUUCAUUUCAAUUUCCCCAAUCUGACACUCGAAAUCCAUGCCAUGGACUUAAUCCCCGAAAAAUCAAUCACUUCUCUCCUCAGAAUUCAUGUUGCAAUUGCACACAUUCUCUGCUAGGAUCCCAAAACACCAUUUCCAACAGAUCAAACAAUAAUUGAAUUACUUAAUAAACAAAAACGUAGUCGUGAUAAUUCAAUCCAGCCUUGAUCAAGGGGCAACAACCCCAAAGCAUUUCUCACAGUGAAAAACAUCAGAAAGAUCCAGAAAAGGCAAAACAAUUUCAAGAAAAGGCAGGCAAACAAACCCUAACACUAAAUUUUACUGUUAAGAUAAAAAAAAAAAAAAGACUCCUCUUUUAUAAGACAGAGAAGAAAUAAAAUCUUUAAUCUUCAUAGCUUCAUACAUAUCAGAUUCUCAUAAACCACAAAAUCUCACUUCAAGAAACCCCAUAAUUGCUUCCCUUCACUACAGUUAUAAUCCCUUUGUCGAAAUCCCAUUUCCAUUCACUCGUCAAGAUUCAAAAUUCCCUUUUUUCGCUUCAUUUCUCACCAUUUUGUCCGGCAACCAAACAACCACAAAAUCAUUUUUUUUUCAAAAAAGAAAAGGAAAAAGAACAGACACAUUACCCGAAGAAGAAUUAUACUUGUUCUUGUUAUAAUCACCGCAACUUCUCUUUCUCUUCCCCAUAACAAAAACAAAA
Long non-coding RNA from Populus euphratica (Euphrates poplar), 1308 nucleotides. RefSeq lists it as uncharacterized. The record is from RefSeq and is a predicted model, not a curated record. The transcript is spliced from 2 exons. Lineage: Eukaryota; Viridiplantae; Streptophyta; Magnoliopsida; Malpighiales; Salicaceae.